GACGAACGCUGGCGGCGUGCUUAACACAUGCAAGUCGAACGGAAAGGCCCUGCUUGCAGGGUACUCGAGUGGCGAACGGGUGAGUAACACGUGGGUGAUCUGCCCUGCACUUCGGGAUAAGCUUGGGAAACUGGGUCUAAUACCGGAUAGGAGCCAUCUUUAGUGUGGUGGUUGGAAAGUUUUUUCGGUGUAGGAUGAGCUCGCGGCCUAUCAGCUUGUUGGUGGGGUAAUGGCCUACCAAGGCGGCGACGGGUAGCCGGCCUGAGAGGGUGUACGGCCACAUUGGGACUGAGAUACGGCCCAGACUCCUACGGAAGGCAGCAGUGGGGAAUAUUGCACAAUGGGCGCAAGCCUGAUGCAGCGACGCCGCGUGGGGGAUGAAGGCCUUCGGGUUGUAAACUCCUUUCGCUAGGGACGAAGCUUUGUUGUGACGGUACCUAGAUAAGAAGCACCGGCUAACUACGUG
Molecule: ribosomal RNA, 466 nt
Filed under: uncultured bacterium
Lineage: Bacteria
Description: partial 16S ribosomal RNA
Rfam family: Bacterial small subunit ribosomal RNA
Source: RNAcentral